RNAcentral lists this ribosomal RNA (468 nucleotides) under uncultured bacterium. RNAcentral describes it as "partial 16S ribosomal RNA". It matches the Rfam family "Bacterial small subunit ribosomal RNA", at positions 28 to 507 of the family's 1533-position model. The record is from RNAcentral.
GACGAACGCUGGCGGCGUGCUUAACACAUGCCAGUCGAACGGACAGGCCCUGCUUUUGUGGGGUGCUCGAGUGGCGAACGGGUGAGUAAAACGCGAGUAACAUGUCCUUGACAUUGGGAUAACAUCAGGAAAAUGGGGCUCAUACCGGAUAGGAGCUUCUGCAGCAUGGUGGUGGUUGGAGAGAUUCGGUGGUAGGGGAUGGACUAGAGGCUUAUCCGCUUGAUGGUGGAGUAGUGGUAUACCAAGGCUAUGACGGGUAGGCGGCAUUAGAGGGUGACCGGCGACAAGGGUACUGAGAGACGCACCAGACUGCUACGGGAGGCAGCAGUCGGGAGUAUUGCAGAACGGGCGGAAGCCUGAUGCAGCGGUGCCGCGUGCGGGAUGAUGGCCUUUGAGUUAUGAACAUCUUUCUCAUGAGCUGAAGCGUUAGUGACGGUAAUGAGUAAAGAAGCACCGGCUAACUACGUG